UACGUAGGGGGUAAGCGUUGUCCGGAAUCAUUGGGCGUAAAGAGCGUGUAGGCGGCCCGAUAAGUCCGCCGUGAAAGUCCAGGGCUCAACCCUGGAAUGCCGGUGGAAACUGUCGGGCUGGAGUCCGGAAGAGGCGAGUGGAAUUCCUGGUGUAGCGGUGAAAUGCGCAGAUAUCAGGAGGAACACCAAUGGCGAAGGCAGCUCGCUGGGACGGUACUGACGCUGAGACGCGAAAGCGUGGGGAGCAAACAGG
Molecule: ribosomal RNA, 253 nt
Filed under: uncultured bacterium
Lineage: Bacteria
Description: partial 16S ribosomal RNA
Rfam family: Bacterial small subunit ribosomal RNA
Source: RNAcentral